GGAUGUGAGGGCGAUCUGGUUGCGACAUCUGUCACCCCAUUGAUCGCCAGGGUUGAUUCGGCUGAUCUGGCUGGCUAGGCGGGUGUCCCCCUCCUCCCUCACCGAUGCAUGUGCGUCCCUCCCGAAGCUGUGUGCUCGGUGGAAGAGGAUGACCUUCCCCCCCGAGGAGAGGAUCGGUCUUCGGUCAAGGGUAUACGAGUAG
This 202-nucleotide small nuclear RNA is filed under the name Myotis davidii. RNAcentral's name for it is "7SK RNA". It matches the Rfam family "7SK RNA", at positions 1 to 201 of the family's 331-position model. Rfam says of the family: 7SK was discovered as an abundant small nuclear RNA in the mid-70s but a possible function has only recently been suggested. Two independent studies have found that 7SK RNA binds the CDK9/cyclin T complex (known as elongation factor P-TEFb). Lineage: Eukaryota; Metazoa; Chordata; Mammalia; Chiroptera; Vespertilionidae. The record is from Rfam by way of RNAcentral.